This 459-nucleotide ribosomal RNA is filed under the name uncultured bacterium. RNAcentral describes it as "partial 16S ribosomal RNA". It matches the Rfam family "Bacterial small subunit ribosomal RNA", at positions 339 to 795 of the family's 1533-position model. The record is from RNAcentral.
CUACGGGGGGCAGCAGUGAGGAAUAUUGGUCAAUGGGCGAGAGCCUGAACCAGCCAAGUCGCGUGAGGGAGUACUGCCCUAUGGGUUGUAAACUUCUUUUAUAAAGGAAUAAAACGAGGCACGUGUGCCUGUUUGCAUGUACUUUAUGAAUAAGGAUCGGCUAACUCCGUGCCAGCAGCCGCGGUAAUACGGAGGAUCCGAGCGUUAUCCGGAUUUAUUGGGUUUAAAGGGAGCGUAGAUGGGUUGUUAAGUCAGUUGUGAAAGUUUGCGGCUCAACCGUAAAAUUGCAAUUGAUACUGGCAGUCUUGAGUACAGUUGAGGUAAGCGGAAUUCGUGGUGUAGCGGUGAAAUGCUUAGAUAUCACGAAGAACCCCGAUUGCGAAGGCAGCUUACUAAACUGUGACUGACAUUGAUGCUCGAAAGUGUGGGUAUCAAACAGGAUUAGAUACCCCAGUAGUC